This 688-nucleotide long non-coding RNA is filed under the name Marmota monax (woodchuck). The record is from RNAcentral. Lineage: Eukaryota; Metazoa; Chordata; Mammalia; Rodentia; Sciuridae.
UGCUGAGGAUCAAACCCAGUGCCUCAUACAUGCUAUAGGCAAGCGCUCUACCACUGAGCCACUACCUCAGGCGCGAUAGGUCUGGUUUGGAUCCUGCUCAGCAGGGUGGACCCCAACAAUCAUUUUUUUUUAAUAUUUAUUGUUUAGUUUUCGGCAGACAAAACAUCUUUAUUUGUAUGUGGUGCUGAGGAUCGAACCCAGCGCUGCACGUAUGCCAGGCGAGCACGCUACCGUUUCAGCCACAUCCCUAGCCCCCAACAAUCAUUUUUUUCCCCAGGCGUGUACCCAACAUAACCUGGAUGAGGACUUAGGCCUCAUAGAUCAGCAAUUGCAAACUUUAGUCUGAAUCAGAAUUACCUGAAAGGUUUUUUAAAACAUUGCCGAGGGCCCGGGGUAUAACUCAGUGAAAGAGCACUUUUAUAGCAUGUGCAAAACCCUGGGUUCAACCCCCAGUAUCCCACAUACGAAAAAAAACAGAUUGCUUGGCAUCCACUCAAAGAGCCUGAUUCUCUAGGCAUGGGAUGGGGACUAGAAUUUGCAUUUCCAACAGUUUCCAGAUGGGGCUGAUGGGUCCAUGCUUUGACAACUACCAUAGCUUUUGAGUUUCUGUGAAUUUGACUAAUGUUACUCUCGAAGGGUAUAUUCUUAUGACUAUUUUGCAGAACAAAUAAAUGAGCAUUAGGGCUGG